GACGAGCGCUGGCGGCGUGCUUAACACAUGCGAGUCGAACGGUGAAGCGCCUUCCUUUUUGGUGGGUGUGGAUGAGUGGCGAACGGGUGAGUAACACGUGAGUAACCUGCCCCCUUCUUCUGGAUAACCGCAUGAAAGUGUGGCUAAUACGGGAUAUUCUGGGUCUGUCGCAUGAUGGGUCUGGGAAAGAUAUUGUUUCGGUGGGGGAUGGGCUCGCGGCCUAUCAGCUUGUUGGUGGGGUGAUGGCCUACCAAGGCGGUGACGGGUAGCCGGCCUGAGAGGGUGGCCGGUCACACUGGGACUGAGACACGGCCCAGGCUCCUACGGGAGGCAGCAGUGGGGAAUAUUGCACAAUGGGCGCAAGCCUGAUGCAGCGACGCCGCGUGAGGGAUGGAGGCCUUCGGGUUGUGAACCUCUUUCGCCAGUGAAGCAGGCCUGCCUCGUUUGUGGGUGGGUUGACGGUAGCUGGAUAAGAAGCGCCGGCUAACUACGUG
Molecule: ribosomal RNA, 494 nt
Filed under: uncultured bacterium
Lineage: Bacteria
Description: partial 16S ribosomal RNA
Rfam family: Bacterial small subunit ribosomal RNA
Source: RNAcentral